Molecule: long non-coding RNA, 1069 nt
Filed under: Sus scrofa (pig)
Lineage: Eukaryota; Metazoa; Chordata; Mammalia; Artiodactyla; Suidae
Description: lncRNA (ENSSSCG00070010188.1)
Source: RNAcentral
GUGCGGCCCUAAAAAAACAAUAGACUAAAUAAAUAGAUAAAUAAACAAGCAAAGUGCAAGAAGAGAUAAGUCAGAGAAAGUCAUGUUCUCCCAAAGUCCGGGGAGAACGGAGUUUGCAUAGAGUGUGUUUUCUGCUCCACAGAUGUUUGAAAAAAGUGCUUGGUGUUUAUACACCUGUCAUUAAAACUGUCACUAUUUGGGGACCAAUUUACUUUUGAAUAUUAUUGCUAUGGCGAUCUUCGCAACUAUUAAAGAAGCAAAGGAGAAAAAUUUCAUAGGACGUGGACCGAGAUUUUCAAGGAACAUAAUUUCAGUUUUUAUACCAUUUUCCAAUCAUAUCCAAGUUCCAGCUCAGCCUGAGCCUCAGCGCACCCUGACGUGCCCGCUGGUCCAGAAUCUAAUCAGGAGACAGAACCAACGCAGGUUACUUCCGCAGGGAGAGGAGUCAGAUGCUGGAGAAAUGAAAAGGUUUGAAGGCGCAUGCAGGUGUCCAGGAGGCAGUAACUGCAGAAACCAGGUGCCACCCUAGGGCUGGGGCGACCAAGGGAAGAGCUUGUCAGUAAGAAAACGGAACCCCGAAGGAGCUGUCCCCGGACUCAGACUCCGAUCUCAGCCUUUGUGAGGUGGUUGAUGCCUUUGACGGGGUGCUGACCCUAGAAAAGCUGCAAAGGGGGUUCAGCAGCUACUGAUGCGGUAAACUGCCCUCACUGGAAGAUGCGUGGCCGGGGCUCCGCUGAGGGACCAGGAAGCAGAAGCCAAGGAGAAGCCCUUCAGCCUUCAAGCCUCCCUCCAGUGUCUCCUCCUGGCCGGCAGAUUUGAGCCCACAGCCAGGUGCCAAGGGAGAAAGUACUUUUCCUGUGUUGGCUCAGCCCGAGCACCACUGGGCAGAGUCUGGAAGGGGGGGGUUGAGGCCAAGAAGUAGGAGCUUAAUCAUAUCUGGAGUGAAAGGUAAGUGACAUGCCCCCUCCCCUCCGCCGCCAGCCCCGCUCCCCUUCUUUUUUAGCCCAACGUUCUGGCUCCAAAGAAGCUUUGAGCUGGUUUCCAAUAAAAGCACAUACUAACCAGGGCA